CAUAUAUACAAUUACACAAUAUAUCCGUGCAGCUGUCAUUAACUUUCAACAAACCAGAGUCGAAAUAAAGUGGUCUUAUAACCUAGGUAUCCUAACAAGUGUAUAAACCUCAAGUCAAAGUAGACACUUAAAGCUAUUUGACAUAAAGACAUAGAGCUCUGGUAAGUCUAAGAAUUGAUCCAAGUUUGGGAAUUUUUUUUUUAAACUACGAGGCCUCAAUUGAUUGGAGGACCUAAUGCUUUGCCUAAGCCUAAGGCCGACCCUGAUACCUUACUUUACCACAUUGCAAAGCCAAUUUAUUCAUUCUCUAUUUAUGUUAUUUUGACAUAUGUCUUGUUAGUCACAAUAAAGCUAUGUGGCCUACAUUAAAAUAAAAUACUGGCAACAGAAAAAUAAAAAUAUGUUUAUACAUUAAAGUUGCACAGUUAAAGUUUGCCAAUAGAACAGAGAACUUAACAAGUAAAAUGUUCUUAUUUAUUUUAUUAUUUUUGUGCCAAAGAAAUAUUAAAGAUUUUAUUCAUCAAUAAA
Non-coding RNA from Biomphalaria pfeifferi, 528 nucleotides. NCBI's taxonomy places the organism in Eukaryota, Metazoa, Mollusca, Gastropoda, Planorbidae. The record is from the annotation of a GenBank genome assembly.